Non-coding RNA from Rhinopithecus roxellana (golden snub-nosed monkey), 448 nucleotides. Lineage: Eukaryota; Metazoa; Chordata; Mammalia; Primates; Cercopithecidae. The record is from the annotation of a RefSeq genome assembly.
CUGGGAGAGGAGCCCCAGCCCUGGGAUUCCCAGGUGUUUCCAUUCGGUGAUCAGCACUGAACACAGAGAACUCACCAUGGAGUUUGGACUGAGCUGGGUUUUCCUUGUUGCUAUUUUAAAAGGUGUCCAGUGUGAAGUGCAGCUGGUGGAGUCUGGUGGAGGCGUCGUACAGCCUGGGGGGUCCCUGAGACUCUCGUGUGCAGCCUCUGGAUUCACCUUUGAUGAUUAUGCCAUGGGCUGGGUCCGCCAAGCUCCAGGGAAGGGUCUGGAGUGGGUCUCUGGUAUUAGCUGGAAUGCUGGUAGCAUACGCUAUGCAGACUCCGUGAAGGGCCGAUUCACCAUCUCCAGAGACAACGCCAAGAACUCCCUGUAUCUGCAAAUGGACAGGCUGACAGCUGAGGACACGGCCUUGUAUUACUGUGCAAAAGAUACAUAGUGAGGGGAAGUC